This 206-nucleotide long non-coding RNA is filed under the name Gopherus agassizii (Agassiz's desert tortoise). Its description in RNAcentral is "lncRNA (ENSGAGG00000017334.1)". The record is from RNAcentral. Lineage: Eukaryota; Metazoa; Chordata; Testudines; Testudinidae.
CACUUUGCUUCAGAUGACACAAUGUUUGAGGUGCAUGCAGAGCCAUUAAGAACAGCCUGUCACUGAAACCACGACCCUAAGCGGCUCCAUUCUUCAUCCGUACGACUCACACAAGCUGCUGCACUGGCCAGGUCUGCCCGGAAGUUGCAAUAGUGUUGUUAAUAACAAUGACAGGACUCAGUUGCGCCACCUCACCAAUGAGGCAA